AGCAGCCGCGGUAAUUCCAGCUCCAAUAGCGUAUAUUAAAGUUGUUGCAGUUAAAAAGCUCGUAGUUGAAUUUCGGGGUUAGUAGGUUGGUCAUGCCUCUGGUAUGUACUGGUCUCACUGAUUCCUCCUUCCUGAUGAGCCGUAAUGCCAUUAAUUUGGUGUUGCGGGGAAUUUGGACUGUUACUUUGAAAAAAUUAGAGUGUUUAAAGCAAGCUAACGCUUGAAUACAUUAGCAUGGAAUAAUGAAAUAGGACGUUCGAUCCUAUUUUGUUGGUUUCUAGGAUUGACGUAAUGAUUAAUAGGGAUAGUUGGGGGCAUUAGUAUUCAAUUGUCAGAGGUGAAAUUCUUGGAUUUAUUGAAGACUAACUACUGCGAAAGCAUUUGCCAAGGAUGUUUUCAUUAAUCAAGAACGAAAGUUAGGGGAUCGAAGACGGUCAGAUACCGUCGUAGUCUUAACCAUAAACUAUGCCGACUAGGGAUCGGAUGAUGUUAAUUUUUUAAUGACUCA
RNAcentral lists this ribosomal RNA (508 nucleotides) under uncultured Glomus. RNAcentral describes it as "SSU rRNA". It matches the Rfam family "Eukaryotic small subunit ribosomal RNA", at positions 569 to 1078 of the family's 1831-position model. The record is from RNAcentral. Lineage: Eukaryota; Fungi; Glomeromycota; Glomeromycetes; Glomerales; Glomeraceae.